UGGAUCCAGACUUUGAUUCUGGCUCAGGACGAACGCUGGCGGCGUGCUUAACACAUGCAAGUCGAACGGGGAACUUAUUUCGGUAAGUUCUUAGUGGCGAACGGGUGAGUAACGCGUGGGCAACCUGCCCUCCAGUUGGGGACAACAUUCCGAAAGGGAUGCUAAUACCGAAUGUGCUCCCUCCUCCGCACGGAGGAGGGAGGAAAGAUGGCCUCUGCUUGCAAGCUAUCGCUGGAAGAUGGGCCCGCGUCUGAUUAGCUAGUUGGUGGGGUAACGGCUCACCAAGGCGAUGAUCAGUAGCCGGUCUGAGAGGAUGAACGGCCACAUUGGGACUGAGACACGGCCCAAACUCCUACGGGAGGCAGCAGUGGGGAAUCUUCCGCAAUGGACGAAAGUCUGACGGAGCAACGCCGCGUGAGUGAUGAAGGUCUUCGGAUUGUAAAACUCUGUUGUUAGGGACGAAAGCACCGUGUUCGAACAGGUCAUGGUGUUGACGGUACCUAACGAGGAAGCCACGGCUAACUACGUGCCAGCAGCCGCGGUAAUACGUAGGUGGCAAGCGUUGUCCGGAAUUAUUGGGCGUAAAGAGCAUGUAGGCGGGCUUUUAAGUCUGACGUGAAAAUGCGGGGCUUAACCCCGUAUGGCGUUGGAUACUGGAAGUCUUGAGUGCAGGAGAGGAAGGGGGAAUUCCCAGUGUAGCGGUGAAAUGCGUAGAUAUUGGGAGGAACACCAGUGGCGAAGGCGCCUUUCUGGACUGUGUCUGACGCUGAGAUGCGAAAGCCAGGGUAGCAAACGGGAUUAGAUACCCCGGUAGUCCUGGCCGUAAACGAUGGAUACUAGGUGUAGGAGGUAUCGACCCCUUCUGUGCCGGAGUUAACGCAAUAAGUAUCCCGCCUGGGGACUACGAUCGCAAGAUUGCAACUCAAAUGAAUUGACGGA
Molecule: ribosomal RNA, 939 nt
Filed under: uncultured Bacillota bacterium
Lineage: Bacteria; Bacillati; Bacillota
Description: bacterial SSU rRNA
Rfam family: Bacterial small subunit ribosomal RNA
Source: RNAcentral